Molecule: small RNA, 123 nt
Filed under: Marmota monax (woodchuck)
Lineage: Eukaryota; Metazoa; Chordata; Mammalia; Rodentia; Sciuridae
Source: RNAcentral
GCCAGGCAUGGUGGCGCAUGCCUGUAAUCCCAGUCACUUAGGAGGCUAAGGCAGGAGGAUCGUGAAUUCAAAGCCAGCCUUAGCAGCUUAGGCAGUAAACAACUCAGCGAGACCCAGUCUCUA